Molecule: transfer RNA, 82 nt
Filed under: Leptolyngbyaceae cyanobacterium JSC-12
Lineage: Bacteria; Bacillati; Cyanobacteriota; Cyanophyceae; Leptolyngbyales; Leptolyngbyaceae
Also listed under: 1 other name
Description: Oscillatoriales cyanobacterium JSC-12 tRNA
Rfam family: tRNA
About the family: Transfer RNA (tRNA) molecules are approximately 80 nucleotides in length.
Source: Rfam by way of RNAcentral
GGGCGGAUGGCGGAAUUGGUAGACGCACCGCACUCAAAAUGCGGCGGGGAAACCCUUGCGAGUUCGAGUCUCGCUCUGCCCA